AUUGAACGCUGGCGGCAUGCUUUACACAUGCAAGUCGAACGGUAACAGGCCGCAAGGUGCUGACGAGUGGCGAACGGGUGCGUAAUGCAUCGGAACGUGCCCAGUCGUGGGGGAUAACUACUCGAAAGAGUAGCUAAUACCGCAUACGAUCUAUGGCUGACAGCGGGGGACCGUAAGGCCUCGCGCGAUUGUAGCGGCCGAUGUCAGAUUAGGUAGUUGGUGGGGUAAAGGCGCACCAAGCCCACGAUACGUAGCUGGUCUGAGAGGAUGACCAGCCACACUGGGACUGAGAAACGGGCCAGACUCCUACGGGAGGCAGCAGUGGGGAAUUUUGGACAAUGGGCGGAAGCCUGAUCCAGCCAUGCCGCGUGGAAGAAGAAGGCCUUCGGGUUGUAAAGCUCUUUUGUUCGGAAAGAAAAGGGGCUGGUUAAUACCCGGGGCUAAUGACGGUACCGUAAGAAUAAGCACCGGCUAACUACGUG
Molecule: ribosomal RNA, 482 nt
Filed under: uncultured bacterium
Lineage: Bacteria
Description: partial 16S ribosomal RNA
Rfam family: Bacterial small subunit ribosomal RNA
Source: RNAcentral